GGGUAUGUGGCGCAAUCUGGCAGACGCGUCGGUCUUAGAAACCGAAUGUUGAGAGUUCGAGUCUCUCCAUACCCA
This is a transfer RNA of 75 nucleotides. It matches the Rfam family "tRNA". Rfam says of the family: Transfer RNA (tRNA) molecules are approximately 80 nucleotides in length. The record is from Rfam.